This 716-nucleotide ribosomal RNA is filed under the name uncultured archaeon. Its description in RNAcentral is "bacterial SSU rRNA". It matches the Rfam family "Archaeal small subunit ribosomal RNA", at positions 141 to 858 of the family's 1478-position model. The record is from RNAcentral.
UGAGAAUAAUGCCCGAUAGAACACUAUACCUGGAAUGGUUUGUGUUCCAAAUGAUUUAUCGCCAUAGGAUGGGACUGCGGCCUAUCAGUUUGUUGGUGAGGUAAUGGCCCACCAAGACUAUUACAGGUACGGGCUCUGAGAGGAGUAGCCCGGAGAUGGGUACUGAGACACGGACCCAGGCCCUAUGGGGCGCAGCAGGCGAGAAAACUUUGCAAUGUGCGAAAGCACGACAAGGUUAAUCCGAGUGGUUCCUGCUAAAGGAACCUUUUGUUAGUCCUAGAACCACUAACGAAUAAGGGGUGGGCAAGUUCUGGUGUCAGCCGCCGCGGUAAAACCAGCACCUCAAGUGGUCAGGAUGAUUAUUGGGCCUAAAGCAUCCGUAGCCGGCUCUGUAAGUUUUCAGUUAAAUCUGUACGCUUAGCGUACAGGCUGCCGGGAAUACUGCAGAGCUAGGGAGUGGGAGAAGUAGACGGUACUCGGUAGGAAGUGGUAAAAUGCUUUGAUCUAUCGAUGACCACCUGUGGCAAAGGCGGUCUACCAGAACACGUCCGACGGUGAGGGAUGAAAGCUGGGGGAGCAAACCGGAUUAGAUACCCGGGUAGUCCCAGCUGUAAACUAUGCAAACUCAGUGAUGCAUUGGCUUGUGGUCAAUGCAGUGCUGCAGGGAAGCCGUUAAGUUUGCCGCCUGGGAAGUACGCACGCAAGUAUGAAACUUA